AUACGUAGGGAGCGAGCGUUGUCCGGAAUUACUGGGCGUAAAGGGCGCGUAGGCGGCGCUUCAAGUCGUCUGUCAAAUGGGAGGGCUUAACCCUUUUUCGCAGACGAAACUGGAGAGCUUGAGAAGCAGAGAGGCAAACAGAAUUCCUGGUGUAGCGGUGAAAUGCGUAGAUAUCAGGAAGAAUACCAGUGGCGAAGGCGGUUUGCUGGCUGCAUACUGACGCUGAAGCGCGAAAGCCAGGGGAGCAAACGGGAUUAGAUACCCCGGUAGUCCUGGCAGUAAACGAUGUAUGCUGGGUGUGAGACUAGCGAUAGUUUCGUGCCGAAGUUAACGCGAUGAGCAUACCGCCUGGGGAGUACGGUCGCAAGAUUGAAACUUAAAGGAAUUGGCGGGG
This 394-nucleotide ribosomal RNA is filed under the name uncultured bacterium. RNAcentral describes it as "partial 16S ribosomal RNA". It matches the Rfam family "Bacterial small subunit ribosomal RNA", at positions 523 to 918 of the family's 1533-position model. The record is from RNAcentral.